This 253-nucleotide ribosomal RNA is filed under the name uncultured bacterium. RNAcentral's name for it is "partial 16S ribosomal RNA". It matches the Rfam family "Bacterial small subunit ribosomal RNA", at positions 524 to 776 of the family's 1533-position model. The record is from RNAcentral.
UACGUAGGUGGCAAGCGUUGCCCGGAUUUAUUGGGCGUAAAGAGUUCGUAGGUGGUUUGUUAAGUCUGAUGUUAAAGACUGAGGCUCAACCUCGGGAGUGCAUUGGAUACUGGCAGACUAGAGUAUGGUAGAGGCAAGCGGAAUUCCCAGUGUAGCGGUGAAAUGCGUAGAUAUUGGGAAGAACACAGGUGGCGUAGGCGGCUUGCUGGGCCAUAACUGACGCUGAGGAACGAAAGCCAGGGGAGCGAAUGGG